RNAcentral lists this long non-coding RNA (656 nucleotides) under Androctonus crassicauda. Lineage: Eukaryota; Metazoa; Arthropoda; Arachnida; Scorpiones; Buthidae. The record is from RNAcentral.
GAAAUUCAAAUGGAUUUUCCAUAAGCAGAAUGCUCAUAACCAAGCCUCUAGGCCAACAUCCGAAGAUGUAGCGACUGUGGUUGGUGACAUCAUCAUCUCAGCACCUGUUAAAGAAUUACUACUGCUUAACCCUUCAGCUGUUCCCCAGCUUGUGCCUAAACUCUGUGAUCUAGCACCUAGUAUCGAUCGAAUACUUUCUAUGGUUGAGGAUAUCCACCUUGAGAAGACUCGUUGGGACAUUGUUAGCUUUAAGAUUGCAGACGGAAGAAAGAAUAAGGCGAUGGCUAAUAAGUAUAAGGCCCUUUUAAAAUACGUUAGGAAUUGGAUGACUAAGAAUUCGAUCAUCUAUACAAAGGAUGACAAAUCAAAAAAGGUAGUAUUUAUUGAAAAACGUAAUUACGACGAUCUGCUUCUUGCAUUUAUAUAACAGUCACAGUCCGAGAUACUCACAACAGACCCUACGGGCCGGAUAUUUAAACAAGUCAAAAGAAUCAGUAAAUUGAAACACUUCCCGGAGCAGUGGAAGUUUAAAGAGGUCUCAUCCCCGUAUCCUCCCAGGCUGUUUGGGUAUGUUAAAACUCACAAAACGCCCAUCACAAUUCGACCCAUGGUUGACAAGGUAUCCUCCUCUAUUUUCAACCUGGAAAGGGCUAUAG